GUAUUUGUUUCAAUAGCACAUACACUAAAAUGGAAAUGAUGCAAAGAUUAGCAUGACACCUGAUCAAGGAUGACGUGCAAAUUUGUGAAGUAAUUGGUAUUUUU
Pteropus alecto (black flying fox) is the source of this 104-nucleotide non-coding RNA. NCBI's taxonomy places the organism in Eukaryota, Metazoa, Chordata, Mammalia, Chiroptera, Pteropodidae. The record is from Rfam.